UACGGAAGGCAGCAGUGGGGAAUAUUGCACAAUGGGCGCAAGCCUAAUGCAGCCAUGCCGCGUGUAUGAAGAAGGCCUUCGGGUUGUAAAGUACUUUCAGUCGUGAGGAAGGUGUUAAGGUUAAUAACCUUAGCAAUUGACGUUAGCGACAGAAGAAGCACCGGCUAACUCCGUGCCAGCAGCCGCGGUAAUACGGAGGGUGCGAGCGUUAAUCGGAAUUACUGGGCGUAAAGGGCACGCAGGCGGUUAAUUAAGUUGGAUGUGAAAUCCCCGGGCUUAACCUGGGAAUGGCAUUCAAGCUGGUUAGCUAGAGUCUUGUAGAGGGGGGUAGGAAUUCCAUGUGUAGCGGUGAAAUGCGUAGAGAUGUGGAGGAAUACCGGUGGCGAAGGCGGCCCCGUGGACAAAGACUGACGCUCAUGUGCGAAAGCGU
RNAcentral lists this ribosomal RNA (430 nucleotides) under uncultured bacterium. Its description in RNAcentral is "bacterial SSU rRNA". It matches the Rfam family "Bacterial small subunit ribosomal RNA", at positions 340 to 762 of the family's 1533-position model. The record is from RNAcentral.